AUUGAACGCUGGCGGCAUGCUUUACACAUGCAAGUCGAACGGUAACAGGCCGCAAGGUGCUGACGAGUGGCGAACGGGUGAGUAAUGCAUCAGAACGUGCCCAGUCGUGGGGGAUAACGCAGCGAAAGCUGUGCUAAUACCGCAUACGAACUAUGGAUGAAAGCGGGGGACCGUAAGGCCUCGCUCGAUUGGAGCGGCGGAUGUCAGAUUAGGGAGUUGGUGGGGUAAAGGCCUACCAAGCCGACGAUCUGUAGCUGGUCUGAGAGGGCGACCAGCCACACUGGGACUGAGACACGGCCCAGACUCCUACGGGAGGCAGCAGUGGGGAAUUUUGGACAAUGGGCGCAAGCCUGAUCCAGCAAUGCCGCGUGCAGGAAGAAGGCCUUCGGGUUGUAAACUGCUUUUGUACGGAACGAAACGCUCUGGGUUAAUACCCUGGGCUAAUGACGGUACCGUAAGAAUAAGCACCGGCUAACUACGUGCCAGCCGCCGCGGUAA
RNAcentral lists this ribosomal RNA (498 nucleotides) under uncultured bacterium. RNAcentral's name for it is "partial 16S ribosomal RNA". It matches the Rfam family "Bacterial small subunit ribosomal RNA", at positions 30 to 523 of the family's 1533-position model. The record is from RNAcentral.